GGAGAGGUGUCCGAGAGGCCUAAGGAGCACGACUGGAAAUCGUGUAGGCGGCGAAUACCGUCUCGGGGGUUCGAAUCCCCCCCUCUCCG
RNAcentral lists this transfer RNA (89 nucleotides) under Candidatus Coatesiibacteriota bacterium. Its description in RNAcentral is "Candidatus Coatesbacteria bacterium tRNA-Ser". It matches the Rfam family "tRNA". Rfam says of the family: Transfer RNA (tRNA) molecules are approximately 80 nucleotides in length. Their secondary structure includes four short double-helical elements and three loops (D, anti-codon, and T loops). Further hydrogen bonds mediate the characteristic L-shaped molecular structure. tRNAs have two regions of fundamental functional importance: the anti-codon, which is responsible for specific mRNA codon recognition, and the 3' end, to which the tRNAs corresponding amino acid is attached (by aminoacyl-tRNA synthetases). tRNAs cope with the degeneracy of the genetic code in two manners: having more than one tRNA (with a specific anti-codon) for a particular amino acid; and 'wobble' base-pairing, i.e. permitting non-standard base-pairing at the 3rd anti-codon position. Lineage: Bacteria; Candidatus Coatesiibacteriota. The record is from RNAcentral. RNAcentral also lists the same sequence under 1 other name.